This is a non-coding RNA of Hordeum vulgare subsp. vulgare (domesticated barley), 136 nucleotides long. The record is from Rfam. NCBI's taxonomy places the organism in Eukaryota, Viridiplantae, Streptophyta, Magnoliopsida, Poales, Poaceae.
CAUAUACUUACUCCGUCCCAAAAUUCUUGUCUUUGAUUUGUCUAGAUAUGAAUGUAUCUAGUCAUGUAUUAGUAUUUAGAUACAUUCAAAUUUACACAAACCUAAGACAAGAAUCUCGGGACGGAGGGAGUAUCUU